This 73-nucleotide transfer RNA is filed under the name Bacteroidales bacterium. Its description in RNAcentral is "tRNA-Trp". It matches the Rfam family "tRNA". From Rfam's summary of the family: Transfer RNA (tRNA) molecules are approximately 80 nucleotides in length. Their secondary structure includes four short double-helical elements and three loops (D, anti-codon, and T loops). The record is from RNAcentral. Lineage: Bacteria; Pseudomonadati; Bacteroidota; Bacteroidia; Bacteroidales.
AGGGGUGUAGUUCAGUUGGUAGAGCGUUGGUCUCCAAAACCAAAAGUCGCGAGUUCGAAUCUUGCCGCCCCUG